UACGUAGGGUGCAAGCGUUAAUCGGAAUUACUGGGCGUAAAGCGUGCGCAGGCGGUUUUGUAAGUCAGAUGUGAAAUCCCCGGGCUUAACCUGGGAACUGCGUUUGAAACUACAAGGCUAGAGUGUGGCAGAGGGGGGUGGAAUUCCACGUGUAGCAGUGAAAUGCGUAGAGAUGUGGAGGAACACCGAUGGCGAAGGCAGCCCCCUGGGCCAACACUGACGCUCAGGCACGAAAUCGUGGGGAGCAAACAGG
This 253-nucleotide ribosomal RNA is filed under the name uncultured bacterium. RNAcentral describes it as "partial 16S ribosomal RNA". It matches the Rfam family "Bacterial small subunit ribosomal RNA", at positions 524 to 776 of the family's 1533-position model. The record is from RNAcentral.